Molecule: microRNA precursor, 65 nt
Filed under: Petromyzon marinus (sea lamprey)
Lineage: Eukaryota; Metazoa; Chordata; Hyperoartia; Petromyzontiformes; Petromyzontidae
Description: Pma-Mir-181-P1o1_pre stem-loop
Rfam family: mir-181 microRNA precursor family
About the family: In this case the mature sequence comes from the 5' arm of the precursor.
Source: RNAcentral
AACAUUCAACGCUGUCGGUGAGUUUUGUUCUUCCCGACCUUAAACCAUCGACCGUUGACUGUACC